This 395-nucleotide ribosomal RNA is filed under the name Russula compacta. Its description in RNAcentral is "LSU rRNA". It matches the Rfam family "Bacterial large subunit ribosomal RNA", at positions 1718 to 2101 of the family's 2925-position model. Lineage: Eukaryota; Fungi; Basidiomycota; Agaricomycetes; Russulales; Russulaceae. The record is from RNAcentral.
CAAAUUAUCCUCAUAAGUUUGACAAUAAGAGAAACUAUAUAAAAUUUAGAUUAGCCAUAAUUUACAUAAUUAUAUAGUAUAAUAAAAUCGGAGGCCACGACUGUUUACUAAAAACACAAUUCAGAGCAAUGAUUAAGAUAAUAGUAUUCUGGAUGAAAUUUGCUCAAUGCCAUUAAUAUAAGAGAGGUAAUUUAAAGUUACUAAUCGAAAAUCUGGUUAAUAGCGGUCUUAACUAUGAGGAUCCUAAGGUAGCAAAAUAAAUUGGCCAUUAAAUGUGGUCUUGUAUCAAUAAUGUAACGAUGGUCUCACUGUCUCUACAACUUGCUCAGUGAAAUUGAAUUGCGAGUGCAGAUGCUCGCUGUCUUCAGAGGGGACGGGAAGACCCUAUGCAGCUU